AUUGAACGCUGGCGGCAGGCCUAAUACAUGCAAGUCGGGCGGAAACGAUGGAGCUUGCUCCUGGCGUCGAGCGGCGGACGGGUGAGUAACGCGUAGGAAUCUACCCAGUAGAGGGGGAUAGCCCGAGGAAACUCGGAUUAAUACCGCAUACGCCCUACGGGGGAAAGGCUGGGAUCUUCGGACCAGUCACUAUUGGAGAAGCCUGCGUAAGAUUAGCUUGUUGGUGGGGUAAAGGCCUACCAAGGCGACGAUCUUUAGCUGGUCUGAGAGGAUGAUCAGCCACACUGGGACUGAGACACGGCCCAGACUCCUACGGGAGGCAGCAGUGGGGAAUAUUGCACAAUGGGCGAAAGCCUGAUGCAGCCAUGCCGCGUGUGUGAAGAAGGCCUUCGGGUUGUAAAGCACUUUCAGUUGUGAGGAAAGGGUGUUGGUUAAUAGCCAACAUCUGUGACGUUAACAACAGAAGAAGCACCGGCUAACUUCGUGCCAGCAGCCGCGGUAAUACGAGGGGUGCAAGCGUUAAUCGGAAUUACUGGGCGUAAAGCGUUCGUAGGCGGUUUGUUAAGCAAGAUGUGAAAGCCCAGGGCUCAACCUUGGAACUGCAUUUUGAACUGGCAAACUAGAGUACUGUAGAGGGGGGUAGAAUUUCA
This 650-nucleotide ribosomal RNA is filed under the name uncultured Vibrionaceae bacterium. RNAcentral describes it as "bacterial SSU rRNA". It matches the Rfam family "Bacterial small subunit ribosomal RNA", at positions 28 to 671 of the family's 1533-position model. The record is from RNAcentral. Lineage: Bacteria; Pseudomonadati; Pseudomonadota; Gammaproteobacteria; Vibrionales; Vibrionaceae.